UGGAAUCGCUAGUAAUCGCGGAUCAGAAUGCCGCGGUGAAUACGUUCCCGGGUCUUGUACACACCGCCCGUCACACCAUGGGAGUCGGAAAUGCCCGAAGUNUGUGACCCAACCUUAGGGAGGGAGCAGCCGAAGGCAGGUCGGAUGACUGGGGUGAAGUCGUAACAAGGUAAC
Molecule: ribosomal RNA, 174 nt
Filed under: uncultured bacterium
Lineage: Bacteria
Description: partial 16S ribosomal RNA
Rfam family: Bacterial small subunit ribosomal RNA
Source: RNAcentral